RNAcentral lists this ribosomal RNA (474 nucleotides) under uncultured soil bacterium. RNAcentral's name for it is "bacterial SSU rRNA". It matches the Rfam family "Bacterial small subunit ribosomal RNA", at positions 26 to 518 of the family's 1533-position model. The record is from RNAcentral.
AGGACGAACGCUGGCGGCGUGCUUAACACAUGCAAGUCGAGCGGUAAGGCCUUUCGGGGUACACGAGCGGCGAACGGGUGAGUAACACGUGGGUGAUCUGCCCUGCACUUCGGGAUAAGCCUGGGAAACUGGGUCUAAUACCGGAUAUGACCUCCUAUCGCAUGGUGGGUGGUGGAAAGAUUUAUCGGUGCAGGAUGGGCCCGCGGCCUAUCAGCUUGUUGGUGGGGUAAUGGCCUACCAAGGCGACGACGGGUAGCCGACCUGAGAGGGUGACCGGCCACGACUGGGACUGAGACACGGCCCAGACUCCUACGGGAGGCAGCAGUGGGGAAUAUUGCACAAUGGGCGAAAGCCUGAUGCAGCGACGCCGCGUGAGGGAUGACGGCCUUCGGGUUGUAAACCGUCUUUCAGCAGGACGAAGCGCAAGUGACGGUACCUGCAGAAGAAGCACCGGCAACUCGUGCCAGCAGCCGC